Cucurbita maxima (winter squash) is the source of this 2665-nucleotide RNA transcript. RefSeq lists it as uncharacterized. NCBI's taxonomy places the organism in Eukaryota, Viridiplantae, Streptophyta, Magnoliopsida, Cucurbitales, Cucurbitaceae. The record is from RefSeq and is a predicted model, not a curated record. The transcript has 7 exons.
AAAAAAUCUCCCUCAUUUUAAUCCUAAUCGGAUUUUCGUUGAGCCGCUUUGAUUUCCUCCCAUUCCAUUCGACUUCGUGUUAUUCAAAGCUACUGAUUCUCUUCUCACUUGAAAUUCCUCAUCGGCGAUCUGAUUUCCCCGGAAAGAUCUGACAAUUGCUGUUUCUGCUGUCUGGAUUUCAGAUUAUCAGAUCGCACCGCCAUUUCUCUUCCACUUCCCUUCGUCGCCGUCGCCGUCGUCGUUGACUUUGGUUAGGGAUUGUUCUUGCCACUUGCAGACUAGUGUUCCUUAGUUGGUGGUAGACUGUCGAGAUGUUAGGAGCAGGUGUUCGGUUUGGUCGCGUCAGAGGUGAGGACCGGUUUUACGAUUCAUCGAGAGCCAGGAAGGGCCUUCUCAGCCGUCAAAAUGAUAGGCUCUGUAGACCUCAAGAACACGCUUCAGCUACUCCAUCUUGCGCGGUUAAGGAUGUUUCGGUGCAGUAUCCGAUUACAGAGGCUGGGGACCGUGUCGUCUCUGAUGAAGCUACUAAACCAAUUCCCCAGCCGGCUGUUUCUCCGUUAAGUAAUCUCGAGCGCUUUUUGCAGUCGGUUACUCCGUCUGUGCCUGCUCAGUUUCUCUCUAAGAGUGCGUUGAGAGGUUGGAAAACGAGCGAUUCGGAGAGGCAGCCUUUUUUUGUGCUUGGUGAUUUGUGGGAAACUUUCAAGGAGUGGAGCGCUUAUGGCGCUGGAGUGCCUCUGUUAUUGAAUAACACUGAUGGUGUGGUUCAGUAUUAUGUCCCGUAUUUGUCUGGCAUACAAUUGUAUGGCACGGAAUCGUCUACAAAGCCAAGGCAAUGGGGUGAGGAAACUGAUAGUGACUACAGAGAUUCAAGUAGUGAUGGUAGUAGUGAUUCUGAAACAAAGAGAAGAAUAAAACACUGUAGAGAACCACCCCACCAUAAUGAUCCGUCUAUCACAGCUCCUCUUAGAAUGGAUAGAUUGUCUUUGAGGGACCAGCAUUUGGGACGUCUCGAGGACUGCUCCAGCGAUGAGGCUGAAUCUUGCAAUUCUCAAGGUUGCCUUCUAUUUGAGUAUCUUGAAAGAGACCAACCGUAUUCACGCGAACCUCUGGCAGACAAGAUAUCUGACCUUGCUUCUCGUUUCCCUCAGCUGAAAACAAUGAGAAGUUGUGACCUACUACCAUGUAGUUGGAUAUCUGUGGCAUGGUACCCAAUUUACAGGAUACCAACUGGGCAAACAUUAAAGGAUCUUGAUGCUUGCUUUCUCACAUACCAUUCUCUACAUACCGCAAUGGGAGGUAAUUCAAGCCUUCAAAGCCCUCAAUUGCCAUUUGUGGCAUAUCCUUGUAAGACGGAUGCCAAAAAAGUUCCUUUAAGAAUUUUUGGACUUGCUUCAUACAAGUUUAAAGGGUCAUCAUUGUGGAUGCGAAAUGGUGGAGUUGAGCAUCAAUUGGCAAACAAGCUCUCGCGGGAAGCUGAUAAGUGGUUAAAAGAACUCCAGGUCAAUCACCCAGAUUUCGUAUUCUUCUGCCGACGAGAUUUAGCACCUUACUGAUACGAUACUCUUACAAACUAGAAAACGAAAGUCGACAAGUUGUGGCCCUACAAAAGAACCCUGUAAUUAGUUGGAUUGAGCCGUAUGCCUGUUGAAGGAGUGGUACACUCGUUUGCUUUUGUCAAGGUGGGGGAUUGAAGGAAGGUUAAGGAAUGUGAUAGGUUGCAAAAUACUGAAGCUUUAGUUGGUCGUCGGUGUGCCGUGCCUGAUGUAUUAACAAAGACCGAUAGAAAGUGAAGUCUAAAGAUGUAAGAAGAGAACAUAGCUGUAAGACUCGCUGGUUUAGCAAGGUAGAUGCUGAUUCGACAUGUAUUAAUAAGCAUGUGUUCUUCUUUGCUUUCACCUUUUAGUUUAUGUAUCCAUAGAAGAGCCAUCAUUUGAGAAAUCAGGCCUUCCUUAAUCCCUCCAACUGACGGUCCUAAUUUUGUUAGAAUGUAAUGUUACUUAAGAGGAUUUAGCACCUCACUGGUUUUAUUCAGGCAUUGAACUGUACUGCAGGAGUUUCCUUGACCAUGAACAGGUUAUAACGAUUAGAAAUGUAUAUGGAAAGCGUACAAAACGCCCUGAACUUGGGUAUGGCCGUCAUGUGAAGAUGAAAGAAUGUGAAAGCAAGAAGAUCCUUACUCGUAAGCAAUGCUCAAUGGCCAAGUGUUGUGUCCUGAUCUGUAGAAAUGGUAAGUGUACGGUAAGAAAGCCUCUAGUAAGCAAUGCUCAAUGACCAAGUGUUGUGUCCUGAUCUGUAGAAAUGGUAAGUGUACGGUAAGAAAGCCUCUAGUUUCUGCUUUACAGAGGGCAGGGACCCACUUAUGGAAACACAGCGUUGGCUUGCUUGCCUGGUGUUCAUAGGACCUGUAACAAAGUUUCUGAUUCCACUAUACCAAGUAAGUUUUCUGAGCUACUUUUUAAUGUCUAUUAAUUGUGAGCUAAAUGGAUGAUGCUGCUGUGUUGGAAUAUCUAGAUGUGCUUUUGAGUGUUUUGGUAAAAACUUUUUUCAAUUUACCCUCCUGGUAAAUGAAUGUUAAAUUUGGAUGGUUAUAAGUUUACAGGGUAUUAAAACUAAAUUGGAAAAUGCUUGAAAAUUAAAGACUAAAACAUACCCCUUUUGUACUCAA